This 202-nucleotide long non-coding RNA is filed under the name Mytilus galloprovincialis (Mediterranean mussel). Lineage: Eukaryota; Metazoa; Mollusca; Bivalvia; Mytilida; Mytilidae. The record is from RNAcentral.
CCGACUUCGUAUGGUUUCAGAGGAGUUGCAGCUCAAUGAAAUCGGUCUCUUCCUUUUAAUAAGUAGUAUGAUAGAUUAUGGUCGAUGAUAAGGCUUCAUACCAUUGCAUAUAUAUCACAAAACGCAUCUUGUCCAUAUGACAUUAACAAAGUCAUUAACCAUCAGGAUACGCAAUUUCUGAAGCCCUAAUAUUGAGAAAGAC